RNAcentral lists this ribosomal RNA (292 nucleotides) under uncultured bacterium. Its description in RNAcentral is "partial 16S ribosomal RNA". The record is from RNAcentral.
GGACUACAGGGGUUUCUAAUCCUGUUUGAUCCCCUUGCUUUCGCGCCUCAGCGUCAGGAAUAAGCUAGAAAACCGCCUUCGCCACCGGUGUUCUUCCACAUAUCUACGCAUUUCACCGCUACUUGUGGAAUUCCGUUUUCUCCGCCUACCCUCUAGGCCUCCAGUUUCGGAUGCAGUUCUAGGGUUGAGCCCUAGGAUUUCACAUCCGACUUGAAGACCAGCCUACGCGCCCUAUACGCCCAAUAAUUCCGAUUAAUGCUUGCACCCCACGUAUUACCGCGGCUGCUGGCAC